Molecule: ribosomal RNA, 467 nt
Filed under: uncultured bacterium
Lineage: Bacteria
Description: partial 16S ribosomal RNA
Rfam family: Bacterial small subunit ribosomal RNA
Source: RNAcentral
ACGAACGCUGGCGGCGUGCUUCACCCAUGCCAGUCGAACGGAAAGGCCCUGCUUUUGUGGGGUGCUCGAGUGGCGAACGGGUGAGUAACACGUGAGUAACCUGCCCUUGACUUUGGGAUAACUUCAGGAAACUGGGGCUAAUACCGGAUAGGAGCUCCUGCUGCAUGGUGGGGGUUGGAAAGUUUCGGCGGUUGGGGAUGGACUCGCGGCUUAUCAGCUUGUUGGUGGUGUAGUGGCUUACCAAGGCUUUGACGGGUAGCCGGCCUGAGAGGGUGACCGGCUACAUUGGGACUGAGAUACGGCCCAGACUCCUACGGGAGGCAGCAGUGGGGAAUAUUGCACAAUGGGCGGAAGCCUGAUGCAGCAACGCCGCGUGCGGGAUGACGGCCUUCGGGUUGUAAACCGCUUUCGCCUGUGACGAAGCGUGAGUGACGGUAAUGGGUAAAGAAGCACCGGCUAACUACGUG